UGGGGAAUAUUGCACAAUGGGCGAAAGCCUGAUGCAGCAACGCCGCGUGAGGGACGACGGCCUUCGGUUGUAAACCUCUUUUAGCAAGGAAGAAGCGAAAGUGACGGUACUUGCAGAAAAAGCGACCGGCUAACUACGUGCCAGCAGCCGCGGUAAUACGUAGGGCGCAAGCGUUAUCCGGAAUUAUUUGGGCGUAAAGAGCUCGUAGGCGGUUUGUCGCGUCUGCUGUGAAAACCCGAGGCUCAACCUCGGGCCUGCAGUGGGUACGGGCAGACUAGAGUGCGGUAGGGGAGAUUGGAACUCCUGGUGUAGCGGUGGAAUGCGCAGAUAUCAGGAAGAACACCGAUGGCGAAGGCAGAUCUNUGGGCCGUAACUGACGCUGAGGAGCGAAAAGGGUGGGGAGCAAACAGGCUUAGAUGACCCU
RNAcentral lists this ribosomal RNA (424 nucleotides) under uncultured bacterium. Its description in RNAcentral is "partial 16S ribosomal RNA". It matches the Rfam family "Bacterial small subunit ribosomal RNA", at positions 355 to 788 of the family's 1533-position model. The record is from RNAcentral.